Molecule: transfer RNA, 72 nt
Filed under: Camelus bactrianus (Bactrian camel)
Lineage: Eukaryota; Metazoa; Chordata; Mammalia; Artiodactyla; Camelidae
Also listed under: 2 other names
Rfam family: tRNA
About the family: Transfer RNA (tRNA) molecules are approximately 80 nucleotides in length. Their secondary structure includes four short double-helical elements and three loops (D, anti-codon, and T loops).
Source: Rfam by way of RNAcentral
GAGGAUAUAGCUCAGCAGUAGAGCGCAUGCUUAGCAAGCACAAGGUCCUGGGUUCAGUCCCCAGUAUCUCCA